Molecule: transfer RNA, 100 nt
Filed under: Pleodorina starrii
Lineage: Eukaryota; Viridiplantae; Chlorophyta; Chlorophyceae; Chlamydomonadales; Volvocaceae
Description: tRNA-Leu
Rfam family: tRNA
About the family: Transfer RNA (tRNA) molecules are approximately 80 nucleotides in length. Their secondary structure includes four short double-helical elements and three loops (D, anti-codon, and T loops).
Source: RNAcentral
GGUUGCGUGGCCGAGUGGUCCAAGGCGCAGGAUUAAGGUUUACUCCUGUCCGAAAGGGCUCCUGUCCGAAAGGGCGCAGGUUCGAACCCUGCCGCAGCCA